GGUCCCGUAGUGUAGCGGUUAUCACGUCGCCCUGUCACGGCGAAGAACGCGGGUUCGAUUCCCGUCGGGACCG
Molecule: transfer RNA, 73 nt
Filed under: Streptococcus suis
Lineage: Bacteria; Bacillati; Bacillota; Bacilli; Lactobacillales; Streptococcaceae
Also listed under: 3 other names
Description: tRNA-Asp
Rfam family: tRNA
About the family: Transfer RNA (tRNA) molecules are approximately 80 nucleotides in length. Their secondary structure includes four short double-helical elements and three loops (D, anti-codon, and T loops).
Source: RNAcentral